UACGCAGGGUGCGAGCGUUAAUCGGAAUUACUGGGCGUAAAGCGUGCGCAGGCGGUUCUCCAAGUCCGUUGUGAAAGCCCCGGGCUCAACCUGGGAAUGGCAGUGGAAACUAGGGGACUUGAAUCUGGCAGAGGGGGGUGGAAUUCCACGUGUAGCAGUGAAAUGCGUAGAGAUGUGGAGGAACACCGAUGGCGAAGGCAGGUCUCUGGGCCACUACUGACGCUGAGAAGCGAAAGCGUGGGGAGCGAACAGG
Molecule: ribosomal RNA, 253 nt
Filed under: uncultured bacterium
Lineage: Bacteria
Description: partial 16S ribosomal RNA
Rfam family: Bacterial small subunit ribosomal RNA
Source: RNAcentral